GAUUUAGAAAUUUUCGUAUUAUAUAAUAGCAUUAGAUAAACGCUAUGAUAGAGAAAAACCUAAAAUAUCAUUUAAUUAAUGCUAUUUUAAGAAUUACGUGAGCGGGAAAAAUAAAAUCACCGGUUUCACCAGUACUUAACGGGAAUUUAGAUUUAAGCGCCAAAAAUAUUAUUUAAGCGGCUUAAUAAAACUACGAAAGACUUAUAAUAGCAUUUUUAUAAUGCUAAGAAAAGCUAUUUGAACCCCUAAACCUUAAACAUGAUUUUAAACCCUAAACACUAAUGACAACUCUUAAAACUGUAAUCUUUUUAUAUUAUAACUUCAAGUCUUAAAAUUAAACUUAAAAUUUAAUCUUCUUGAUCUUAAACUAUAAUUUCCUAACCACAUAUCCUUAAUCUUUAAUCAAUCUCUAUAUCCUAAAUCAUAACUUCAAACAUAAAUUAUACAUUAUGUGUAAACAUACAAACUUUUUAAAUGAUGACCAAACUUAAAUAUUAAUUCUUAAAAUAAAUAUCAAUUUAUUAUGUUCAAAAAUAACUUUAAACUUAAAUUCCAAAGUACAAAAUAUAAAUUUUGAAAUAAGAUAUAAGUAAGAAAAAUUAUUUACAAAACAAAUCAUCAAAGAUUGAAGAAAAAAAAAAACAAUUUAUAAAGAGUAUUUUCUUGCUACGAUUUAGCUACGAAAUCUUUUGUAGGUCUUUAUAAAAUAGCCACGAAAUGCCGCGGGUUUUUUGUACAUGCUUAAAACCCUAAACCCUAAAAUUCUUUUAAACCCUAAACCCUAAAUAUAAACCUUAAAACUCUAUUUUUUCAUAAUUUAACUUAAAUCUUAAAUUUAAAUUCAUAAUUUAAUUUCAAAUCAUAAUUUAAACCCCAAAUACUAUAUUCCAACCCCUUACUCAAAACUUUAUAUUCCAUAUACACUAAACUUUACUAUACAUAAAAUACUCUAAAUAUAAACUUCAAAACUAAAAUUUUGAAAAUUUAACUACAAAACUUAGACCUAAUAUUCAAAUCUAAUAUUUUCAUACUCUGAUCCAAAAUCUUAAAUCAUAGUCUUGAUAUUAAUCAAAUAUUUUCAAACUUAAACAUCAAUUCUUAAAAUAAAUAUAAACUUAUUAUGUUCAAAAAAGAAAACUCUAAACUUAAAUUAUAAACUCGAAAAUAGAAAAUUUUAUAUAAGGUAUAACUAAGAAAAAUUACUUAGAAAACAAAUUAUCAAAUAUUUAAGAACAAAACAAAAAUAAAAAUAGAAAAAGAAAGACAAAAUUUCUGGCCAAUCAGAUUCAAAUACAUAGAUCACACUUUUAACCAUUGGAUUAACUUAGAUCUAAAGGUAGAGAUUUAUUCAAUUUAAUUUUUAUUUUUUUCUUCUCUCUCUCGCGACAGAUCUCAUCUCAUCUCCUUCUCUGCUUUUUUUUUUCCCCGAUUCUCUCUUCACUCUAACCUCUCAUUCUCAUAUCUCAUAUCUCUCUUCUCUCUCAUCUCUCUCAACGUGUCUCUCAUCUCGCCCAUCUCUCUCAACGCCUCUCUCAUCUUACCACCACCGUGUCUCCUCCUCGUCUCACCACCACCGUUUUCCCCCUUGUCUCACCACCACCACGGUGGAGGAGCCAAGGUUCAUGGUGGCUGGAGGAAGCAAGGUUCAUGGCUGCUGGAAGAGGGACAAGGCUAUGGAGGAGGCGGUAGGAGUUUUUUCUUUAGGUUUAGGUUAGGUCUGGUUAAGUGUAAACCGAGUUAGGAAAAUUGUAGUGGUCUGAUUUUAUUUUUUAAUUUCUGGUUUAGUUUUGUAAACCAGAAUUAAUCUGUAAACCAAAUUUAAUUUAUUAAUAAAAUUUAUUUUAUUUUCAGUUACAAAAUAAUUUUCGAUUUAAUUUAUAA
Brassica napus (rape) is the source of this 1881-nucleotide long non-coding RNA. RefSeq lists it as uncharacterized. The record is from RefSeq and is a predicted model, not a curated record. The transcript is spliced from 2 exons. Lineage: Eukaryota; Viridiplantae; Streptophyta; Magnoliopsida; Brassicales; Brassicaceae.